This is a long non-coding RNA of Haliotis rubra (blacklip abalone), 448 nucleotides long. RefSeq lists it as uncharacterized. The record is from RefSeq and is a predicted model, not a curated record. Lineage: Eukaryota; Metazoa; Mollusca; Gastropoda; Lepetellida; Haliotidae. The transcript is spliced from 3 exons.
UGCUUAACCAGGGCGGCGUUACCCCUUAAACUGUCGUGUCUACCCAUCCAGCUCAACCAGGGUUGCAGGUCCCAACCAGGUUUGUGCUUUUUAUUAUUUGAAGUGCAAAAACAAGCCGAAUUAAGAUCAUCACUGAGAUGAUGUGAGUGAUUUUGCAGAUCAAGAGACGACGAUGGCUUGCUGCGUUGACUGCGCUAAACGCUAUAUGGUGGUGUCAGUCGGAUCUAUUGGACUUCUUGUUUCCAUUGGUUUCCGAACAUGUUUCUCUCUCGUCAUGGUUCAUGUGACCAAUCACACAUCCACAGAACGUGACGACAAUUCCCUGUUUCACAAUUGUACAGUAACUGGCACCUCUCGAGACCUGCAGCUCAACAUAGAACCCAGUCAUGUUUUCCUGUUGCACACUGUCUUCUACUGUGGUAAUCUCGUCACUCAGAUACCAGGCGGU